Molecule: non-coding RNA, 28 nt
Filed under: Mus musculus (house mouse)
Lineage: Eukaryota; Metazoa; Chordata; Mammalia; Rodentia; Muridae
Source: RNAcentral
UGUGUAGGACUGUAAACGCUGAAAGCCU